GGGGUUGUGGCUCAGCGGUAGAGCGCUCACCUAGCAUGUGCAAGACCCUGGGUUCGAUCCGCAGCACCACA
Molecule: transfer RNA, 71 nt
Filed under: Marmota monax (woodchuck)
Lineage: Eukaryota; Metazoa; Chordata; Mammalia; Rodentia; Sciuridae
Description: tRNA.Ala
Source: RNAcentral